ACAAGCGGAGGAGCAUGUGGUUAAUUCGAUGAUACGCGAGGAACCUUACCUGGGCUCGAACGUAAGAUGACUGUAGGUGAAAGCUUACAUCUCUUCGGAGCAUUUUACGAGGUGCUGCAUGGUUGUCGUCAGCUCGUGCCGUGAGGUGUCGGGUUAAGUCCCAUAACGAGCGCAACCCCUACCUUUAGUUGCCAUCAGGUUAAGCUGGGGACUCUAAAGGAACUGCCUACGCAAGUAGUGAGGAAGGCGGGGAUGACGUCAAAUCAGCACGGCCCUUACGUCCAGGGCUACACACGUGCUACAAUGGCCGAUACAGAGGGCAGUUACCUGGUGACAGGAUGCAAAUCUCCAAAGUCGGUCUCAGUUCGGAUCGGAGUCUGCAACCCGACUCCGUGAAGUUGGAUUCGCUAGUAAUCGCGCAUCAGCCAUGGCGCGGUGAAUACGUUCCCGGGCCUU
Molecule: ribosomal RNA, 456 nt
Filed under: uncultured Sphingobacteriales bacterium
Lineage: Bacteria; Pseudomonadati; Bacteroidota; Sphingobacteriia; Sphingobacteriales
Description: bacterial SSU rRNA
Rfam family: Bacterial small subunit ribosomal RNA
Source: RNAcentral